UCUAUUUUGGCAGAAAAAUUGUAUCAAAUUUAGAAUUUGAAAAUGAUCUUUAUCAAAUAGAA
Molecule: transfer RNA, 62 nt
Filed under: Alectorobius cerradoensis
Lineage: Eukaryota; Metazoa; Arthropoda; Arachnida; Ixodida; Argasidae
Description: tRNA-Leu
Source: RNAcentral